UACAGAGGUCUCAAGCGUUGUUCGGAAUCACUGGGCGUAAAGGGUGCGUAGGCGGCGGAGUAAGUCGGGUGUGAAAUUUGAGGGCUCAACCUUCAACUAGCACCUGAUACUACUUUGCUCGAGGCCUGAAGAGGAGCUUGGAAUUCUCGGUGUAGCAGUGAAAUGCGUAGAUUUCGAGAAGAACGCUCGCAGCGAAAGCGAAGCUCUGGUCAGGUUCUGACGCUGAGGCACGAAGGCUAGGGGAGCAAACGGG
Molecule: ribosomal RNA, 253 nt
Filed under: uncultured bacterium
Lineage: Bacteria
Description: partial 16S ribosomal RNA
Rfam family: Bacterial small subunit ribosomal RNA
Source: RNAcentral